RNAcentral lists this ribosomal RNA (433 nucleotides) under uncultured bacterium. RNAcentral's name for it is "partial 16S ribosomal RNA". It matches the Rfam family "Bacterial small subunit ribosomal RNA", at positions 29 to 507 of the family's 1533-position model. The record is from RNAcentral.
AACGAACGCUGGCGGCAUGCCUAACACAUGCAAGUCGAACGAGACCUUCGGGUCUAGUGGCGCACGUGUGCGUAACGCGUGGGAACCUGCCCUUAGGUUCGGAAUAACUCCCCGAAAGGGGUGCUAAUACCGGAUAAUGUCUUCGGACCAAAGAUUUAUCGCCUUUGGAUGGGCCCGCGUUGGAUUAGCUAGUUGGUAGGGUAAAAGCCUACCAAGGCGACGAUCCAUAGCUGGUCUGAGAGGAUGAUAAGCCACACUGGGACUGCGACACGGCCCAGACUCCUACGGGAGGCAGCAGUGGGGAAUAUUGGACAAUGGGCGAAAGCCUGAUCAAGCAAUGCCGCGUGAGUGAUGAAGGCCUUAGGGUUGUAAAGCUCUUUUACCCGGGAUGAUAAUGACAGUACCGGGAGAAUAAGCUCCGGCUAACUACGUG